GACGUAGGGGGCAAGCGUUGUCCGGAAUCAUUGGGCGUAAAGCGCUCGUAGGUGGAUCGGUAAGUCUGCAAAGAAAGACCCGGGCUCAACUCGGGGAACGGUGUGGAUACUACCGAUCUUGAGGCAAUCAGAGGAUGAUGGAAUUCCCGGUGUAGCGGUGAAAUGCGUAGAUAUAGGAAGGAACACCAGUGGCGAAGGCGACCACCUGGACUGAUACUGACACUGAGGUGCGAAAGCGUGGGGAGCAAACAGG
Molecule: ribosomal RNA, 253 nt
Filed under: uncultured bacterium
Lineage: Bacteria
Description: partial 16S ribosomal RNA
Rfam family: Bacterial small subunit ribosomal RNA
Source: RNAcentral